Molecule: ribosomal RNA, 321 nt
Filed under: uncultured eukaryote
Lineage: Eukaryota
Description: partial 18S ribosomal RNA
Rfam family: Eukaryotic small subunit ribosomal RNA
Source: RNAcentral
CCCUUAGAUGUCCUGGGCCGCACGCGCGCUACACUGACAUGUUCAACAAGCCUCCUAGUUCGACAGGAUUUGGGAAAUCUUUGAACGCAUGUCGUGAUAGGGAUAGAUCAUUGCAAUUAUUGAUCUUGAACGAGGAAUUCCUAGUAAACGCGAGUCAUCAGCUCGCAUUGAUUACGUCCCUGCCCUUUGUACACACCGCCCGUCGCACCUACCGAUUGAAUGUUUCGGUGAAGAUUCCGGAUAGGACUUUUUUGAUCUAUUUCAAUUCUGUCUUAAAAGCUAUCUAAACCUCAACAUUUAGAGGAAGGUGAAGUCGUAACA